CGAAGCCUCGGGUAUCAGAGGACCAUCACUAUCUCUGGCUGCUGUUGACCUUGUUUUUGGAGUAAAACACGGUGGAAGCUGAAUUAGUGAGGAUGACUCCUGCUCCUGUCAUCUCUAAGCUCCUCACACAUCUUUACCUGCACAUGAAGAAAAUCACUCCUGUAGAAUGCAGAUGUUCAGAGGGAGAUGAUGCCACAUCUGGUCCAGCUGAUGGAAGGUCUUGAAGUUCUCUGACUGGCCUCGACUGAAGAUGGUCGUCUCACUGGAUUUAAGAUGCACAAUGAGGGACGUCUGCAGAGACUGAGAAAGAGUCUCACCACAUCCUGACAUGAGGAAAAAGACUUUAUUGAAGACUACAAUGAGAAAAACUAUCAGACAGCAGACGGCUGCAUUCAAGGUGAGCUCUGAACAUUUGAUCUGGAACAGGAAUUCAAUAACGGCAGCAUGAGCUUCAUUUCAGUCUGUAGCUGCUGAAUUCAUGGAUGAAUCAUCUUGCACUAGAGAGGAAGACCAUCAAACAUCCACUAAACAACCCUUUCAGGUCUAUAUUUGAGGUUUUAGGUGGAACAUUCCUUUUAACCAGCCCCUCAGGUCUCUGAGGAUUUUGGAUGGAAUACUGGGUUAAACCAACAUUUUAGGUGCAUGUCCAAGGAUUUCUGGUGGAAUGUUCCUUUAAGGUGGAUGUGUGAGGACCUUGUAGGUGGAAUACUCUCUGAAACC
Molecule: long non-coding RNA, 720 nt
Organism: Amphiprion ocellaris (clown anemonefish)
Lineage: Eukaryota; Metazoa; Chordata; Actinopteri; Pomacentridae
Source: Ensembl